Molecule: ribosomal RNA, 2246 nt
Filed under: Listeria monocytogenes
Lineage: Bacteria; Bacillati; Bacillota; Bacilli; Caryophanales; Listeriaceae
Description: partial 23S ribosomal RNA
Rfam family: Bacterial large subunit ribosomal RNA
Source: RNAcentral
CUGAGUACGGCGGAACACGUGAAAUUCCGUCGGAAUCCGGGAGGACCAUCUCCCAAGGCUAAAUACUCCCUAGUGACCGAUAGUGAACCAGUACCGUGAGGGAAAGGUGAAAAGCACCCCGGAAGGGGAGUGAAACAGUUCCUGAAACCGUGUGCCUACAAGUAGUUAGAGCCCGUUAAUGGGUGAUAGCGUGCCUUUUGUAGAAUGAACCGGCGAGUUACGAUUUGUUGCAAGGUUAAGCGGAAAAAGCGGAGCCGUAGCGAAAGCGAGUCUGAAUAGGGCGCAUAAGUAACAGGUCGUAGACCCGAAACCAGGUGAUCUACCCAUGUCCAGGAUGAAGGUAAGGUAAUACUUACUGGAGGUCCGAACCCACGCACGUUGAAAAGUGCGGGGAUGAGGUGUGGGUAGCGGAGAAAUUCCAAUCGAACUUGGAGAUAGCUGGUUCUCUCCGAAAUAGCUUUAGGGCUAGCCUCGAGGUAAAGAGUCAUGGAGGUAGAGCACUGUUUGGACUAGGGGCCCUUCUCGGGUUACCGAAUUCAGAUAAACUCCGAAUGCCAUGUACUUAUACUCGGGAGUCAGACUGCGAGUGAUAAGAUCCGUAGUCGAAAGGGAAACAGCCCAGACCACCAGUUAAGGUCCCCAAAUAUAUGUUAAGUGGAAAAGGAUGUGGGGUUGCUUAGACAACCAGGAUGUUGGCUUAGAAGCAGCCACCAUUGAAAGAGUGCGUAAUAGCUCACUGGUCGAGUGACCCCGCGCCGAAAAUGUACCGGGGCUAAACAUAUUACCGAAACUGUGGAUGAACCUCUUUAGAGGUUCGUGGUAGGAGAGCGUUCUAAGGGCGGUGAAGUCAGACCGGAAGGACUGGUGGAGCGCUUAGAAGUGAGAAUGCCGGUAUGAGUAGCGAAAGAAGGGUGAGAAUCCCUUCCACCGAAUAUCUAAGGUUUCCUGAGGAAGGCUCGUCCGCUCAGGGUUAGUCGGGACCUAAGCCGAGGCCGAUAGGCGUAGGCGAUGGACAACAGGUAGAGAUUCCUGUACCAGUGCUAAUUGUUUAACCGAUGGGGUGACACAGAAGGAUAGGGAAUCGCACGAAUGGAAAUGUGCGUCCAAGCAGUGAGUGUGAGAAGUAGGCAAAUCCGCUUCUCGCGAAGCAUGAGCUGUGAUGGGGAAGGAAAUUAAGUACGGAAGUUCCUGAUUUCACGCUGUCAAGAAAAGCCUCUAGGAAGAGUAGUACUGCCCGUACCGCAAACCGACACAGGUAGAUGAGGAGAGAAUCCUAAGGUGAGCGAGAGAACUCUCGUUAAGGAACUCGGCAAAAUGACCCCGUAACUUCGGGAGAAGGGGUGCUCUAUUAGGGUGCAAGCCCGAGAGAGCCGCAGUGAAUAGGCCCAGGCGACUGUUUAGCAAAAACACAGGUCUCUGCAAAACCGUAAGGUGACGUAUAGGGGCUGACGCCUGCCCGGUGCUGGAAGGUUAAGAGGAGUGCUUAGCUUCGGCGAAGGUACGAAUUGAAGCCCCAGUAAACGGCGGCCGUAACUAUAACGGUCCUAAGGUAGCGAAAUUCCUUGUCGGGUAAGUUCCGACCCGCACGAAAGGCGCAACGAUCUGGGCACUGUCUCAACGAGAGACUCGGUGAAAUUAUAGUACCUGUGAAGAUGCAGGUUACCCGCGACAGGACGGAAAGACCCCGUGGAGCUUUACUGCAACCUGAUAUGGAAUGUUUGUACCGCUUGUACAGGAUAGGUAGGAGCCGAAGAGACGUGUGCGCUAGCAUACGAGGAGGCAAUGGUGGGAUACUACCCUGGCUGUAUGACCAUUCUAACCCGCCACGCUUAGCGCGUGGGGAGACAGUGUCAGGUGGGCAGUUUGACUGGGGCGGUCGCCUCCUAAAGAGUAACGGAGGCGCCCAAAGGUUCCCUCAGAAUGGAUGGAAAUCAUUCGCAGAGUGUAAAGGCACAAGGGAGCUUGACUGCGAGACUGACAAGUCGAGCAGGGACGAAAGUCGGGCUUAGUGAUCCGGUGGUUCCGCAUGGAAGGGCCAUCGCUCAACGGAUAAAAGCUACCCCGGGGAUAACAGGCUUAUCUCCCCCAAGAGUCCACAUCGACGGGGAGGUUUGGCACCUCGAUGUCGGCUCGUCGCAUCCUGGGGCUGUAGUCGGUCCCAAGGGUUGGGCUGUUCGCCCAUUAAAGCGGCACGCGAGCUGGGUUCAGAACGUCGUGAGACAGUUCGGUCCCUAUCCGUCGCGGGC